RNAcentral lists this unclassified non-coding RNA (345 nucleotides) under soil metagenome. RNAcentral's name for it is "partial contains 5.8S ribosomal RNA, internal transcribed spacer 2, and large subunit ribosomal RNA". The stretch from base 1 to 120 matches the Rfam family "5.8S ribosomal RNA", at positions 35 to 154 of the family's 154-position model. The record is from RNAcentral.
GAUGAAGAACGUAGCGAAAUGCGAUAAGUAGUGUGAAUUGCAGAAUUCAGUGAAUCAUCGAAUCUUUGAACGCACAUUGCGCCCCCUGGUAUUCCGGGGGACAUGCCUGUCCGAGCGUCAUUGCUGCCCUCAAGCACGGCUUGUGUGUUGGGCCUCCGUCCUCCUCCCGGGGGACGGGCCCGAAAGGCAGCGGCGGCACCGCGUCCGGUCCUCGAGCGUAUGGGGCUUCGUCACCCGCUCUUGUAGGCCCGGCCGGCGCUUGCCGACACAUCAAUCUUUUUUCCAGGUUGACCUCGGAUCAGGUAGGGAUACCCGCUGAACUUAAGCAUAUCAAUAAGCGGAGGA